This 21-nucleotide non-coding RNA is filed under the name Arabidopsis thaliana (thale cress). Lineage: Eukaryota; Viridiplantae; Streptophyta; Magnoliopsida; Brassicales; Brassicaceae. The record is from RNAcentral.
CUUGGUUGAAAAGCCAGUGGC